CAGGUAGUAGUGGGUGUAGCGUACCUACUAGCCUACGACGGGUACGGGUUGUGAGAGCAAGAGCCCGGAGAUGGAUUCUGAGACACGAAUCCAGGCCCUACGGGGUGCAGCAGGCGCGAAAACUUUACAAUGCUGGAAACAGCGAUAAGGGGACCUCGAGUGCCAGGUUACAAAUCUGGCUGUCGUGAUGCCUAAAAAGCAUUGCAUAGCAAGGGCCGGGCAAGACCGGUGCCAGCCGCCGCGGUAACACCGGCGGCUCGAGUGGUAACCGUUAUUAUUGGGUCUAAAGGGUCUGUAGCCGGCCGGAUAAGUCUCUUGGGAAAUCUGGCAGCUUAACUGUCAGGCUUUCAGGAGAUACUGUCUGGCUCGAGGCCGGGAGAGGUGAGAGGUACUUCAGGGGUAGGGGUGAAAUCUUGUAAUCCUUGAAGGACCACCAGUGGCGAAGGCGUCUCACCAGAACGGACCUGACGGCAAGGGACGAAAGCUAGGGGCACGAACCGGAUUAGAUACCCGGGUAGUCCUAGCCGUAAACGAUACCCGCUAGGUGUCGGCAACGGUGCGACCGUUGUCGGUGCCGUAGGGAAGCCGUGAAGCGAGCCACCUGGGAAGUACGGCCGCAAGGCUGAAACUUAAAGGAAUUGGCGGGGGAGCAC
RNAcentral lists this ribosomal RNA (653 nucleotides) under uncultured Methanosaeta sp. Its description in RNAcentral is "bacterial SSU rRNA". It matches the Rfam family "Archaeal small subunit ribosomal RNA", at positions 226 to 879 of the family's 1478-position model. Lineage: Archaea; Methanobacteriati; Methanobacteriota; Methanomicrobia; Methanotrichales; Methanotrichaceae. The record is from RNAcentral.